GAAACAUGAAUAUCAUGGUGACACUUCUUUAUUAUCACCCCUCGUAGUUUCUAGCAAUUUUGAAACCUACACAAUGUAUUUCAUCCACCUUUUCCUCCAAUAAAGUACUUUUUGCAUCCCUCACUUUAUGUGUGUAUUAGGGUUGUUUUCAAAAGUCAUUCGGGAAUUCCCUGUACUUUGAAUAUCUUUACUGCAUAAUUAACUAUGAUUACAAUAAAUGGAC
RNAcentral lists this long non-coding RNA (223 nucleotides) under Mytilus galloprovincialis (Mediterranean mussel). Lineage: Eukaryota; Metazoa; Mollusca; Bivalvia; Mytilida; Mytilidae. The record is from RNAcentral.